CCUACGGGGGGCAGCAGUAGGGAAUAUUGCUCAAUGGGGGAAACCCUGAAGCAGCAACGCCGCGUGGAGGAUGAAGGUUUUCGGAUUGUAAAGUCCUUUUGUUAGAGAAGAUAAUGACGGUAUCUAACGAAUAAGCACCGGCUAACGCCGUGCCAGCAGCCGCGGUCAUACGGAGGGUGCAAGCGUUACUCCGAAUCACUGGGCGUAAAGGGCGCGUAGGCGGUAUAGCAAGUCAGAUGUGAAAUCCUAUGGCUUCACCAUAGAACUGCAUUUGAAACUGUUAUUCUAGAGUAUGGGAGAGGUAGGUGGAAUUCUUGGUGUAGAGGUAAAAUCCGUAGAGAUCAAGAGGAAUACUCAUUGCGAAGGCGACCUGCUAGAACAUAACUGACGCUGAGGCGCGAAAGCGUGGGGAGCAAACAGGAUUAGAUACCCGAGUAGUC
This 440-nucleotide ribosomal RNA is filed under the name uncultured bacterium. RNAcentral describes it as "partial 16S ribosomal RNA". It matches the Rfam family "Bacterial small subunit ribosomal RNA", at positions 338 to 795 of the family's 1533-position model. The record is from RNAcentral.